AAGCUCUUUGAUUUAUAAAGGGUCUAGCCUGCCCAGUGGAAAAUUCUCAACGGCCGCGGUAUAUUGACCGUGCAAAGGUAGCAUAAUCACUUGUUCUUUAAAUGGGAACUUGUAUGAACGGCAUUACAUUGUUUUACUGUCUCCUUUUUCUGCCCUUUAAACUUCUACUUACGUGAAGAAGCGUAAAUUUAAAAGAAAGACGAGAAGACCCUGUCGAGCUUUAGCUUUUAUUAAAUGUAUUUUAAAACUUCUAGUUUCAUUUCUUUUUAAAAAAAGCUUUGGUUGGGGCAACCAUGGAGAAAAAAUAUCCUCCAGUCUAAAAAGAAGAACUUCAAUUCUCUUACAUAAUAUCAAGAACCAGUUUACUGGAAAACGGAAAAAGUUACCGCAGGGAUAACAGCGUUAUCUUCUUUAAGAGUUCAUAUUGACAAGAAGGUUUGCGACCUCGAUGUUGGAUUGGGAUACCCUAUAAGUGCAGCAGCUUCUAAAGGUUGGACUGUUCGUCCAUUAAAAUCCUACA
RNAcentral lists this ribosomal RNA (520 nucleotides) under Molpadiodemas villosus. RNAcentral's name for it is "partial 16S ribosomal RNA". It matches the Rfam family "Bacterial large subunit ribosomal RNA", at positions 1831 to 2600 of the family's 2925-position model. Lineage: Eukaryota; Metazoa; Echinodermata; Holothuroidea; Aspidochirotida; Synallactidae. The record is from RNAcentral.